ACCAGACUCCUACGGGAGGCAGCAGUGAGGAAUAUUGGUCAAUGGGCUUACGCCUGAACCAGCCAAGUCGCGUGAGGGAAGACUGCCCUAUGGGUUGUAAACCUCUUUUGUCAGGGAGCAAUUGGCGCUACGUGUAGCGUUAUCGAGAGUACCUGAAGAAAAAGCAUCGGCUAACUCCGUGCCAGCAGCCGCGGUAAUACGGAGGAUGCGAGCGUUAUCCGGUUUUAUUGGGUUUAAAGGGUGCGAAGGCGGAAGGCCAAUGCGGGGGUAAAAUCGCGGGGCCAACCCUGGCCCCGCCGUUGAAACUGGCGUUCUUGAGUGGGCGAGAAGUAUGCGGAAUGCGUGGUGUAGCGGUGAAAUGCAUAGAUAUCACGCAGAACUCCGAUUGCGAAGGCAGCAUACCGGCGCCCAACUGACGCUGAAGCACGAAAGCGUGGGUAUCGAACAGGAUUAGAUACCCCUGUAC
This 466-nucleotide ribosomal RNA is filed under the name uncultured bacterium. RNAcentral's name for it is "bacterial SSU rRNA". It matches the Rfam family "Bacterial small subunit ribosomal RNA", at positions 330 to 793 of the family's 1533-position model. The record is from RNAcentral.